Molecule: transfer RNA, 71 nt
Filed under: Camelus bactrianus (Bactrian camel)
Lineage: Eukaryota; Metazoa; Chordata; Mammalia; Artiodactyla; Camelidae
Also listed under: 3 other names
Rfam family: tRNA
About the family: Transfer RNA (tRNA) molecules are approximately 80 nucleotides in length. Their secondary structure includes four short double-helical elements and three loops (D, anti-codon, and T loops).
Source: Rfam by way of RNAcentral
GCAGAUAUAGCCCAGUGGUAGAGUGCAUGCUUAGCAUGCAUGAGGUCCUGGGUUCAAUCCCAGUACCUCCA